This 479-nucleotide ribosomal RNA is filed under the name uncultured bacterium. Its description in RNAcentral is "bacterial SSU rRNA". It matches the Rfam family "Bacterial small subunit ribosomal RNA", at positions 791 to 1268 of the family's 1533-position model. The record is from RNAcentral.
UAGUCCACGCCGUAAACGAUGAUAACUGGCCUUGAGCGAUACACAGUUCGAGGCUGAGCGAAAGCAUUAAGUUAUCCACCUGGGGAGUACGCCGGCAACGGUGAAACUCAAAGGAAUUGACGGGGGCCCGCACAAGCGGAGGAACAUGUGGUUUAAUUCGAUGAUACGCGAGGAACCUUACCCGGGCUUAAAUGGGAGAUGACCGAUCCAGAGAUGGAUCUUUCCUUCGGGACAUCUUUCAAGGUGCUGCAUGGUUGUCGUCAGCUCGUGCCGUGAGGUGUCGGGUUAAGUCCCAUAACGAGCGCAACCCCUACCGUUAGUUGCCAGCGCGUCAAGGCGGGGACUCUAGCGGGACUGCCACCGUAAGGUGCGAGGAAGGCGGGGAUGACGUCAAAUCAGCAUGGCCCUUACGUCCGGGGGCUACACACGUGUUACAAUGGCCGGGUACAGAGGGGCAGGCCACCUAGUGAUAGGGGAGC